Molecule: long non-coding RNA, 209 nt
Filed under: Patiria miniata (bat star)
Lineage: Eukaryota; Metazoa; Echinodermata; Asteroidea; Valvatida; Asterinidae
Description: uncharacterized LOC119734040, transcript variant X2
Source: RNAcentral
UCAGCCUGCUGUAGCUCAUUGCCAACGACGGCUACAAGCAGAUGGGCCAGUUCUACUAUGCAGCUAAGGCUUCCGAUGUAAAGAUUGGACCCCAAUCCUGAAUACUGGGAAGGCAAGGGAGGGGCGUGCGUGGGCGUAUUCCAGCAGAUCAUAGCUGGCCAUGAACCAAGAGAAACACUGCGAGACAUCCUCCAAAUCUUGCGCAACAC